UGCCAGCAGCCGCGGUAAGACGAAGGUGGCAAACGUUGCUCGGAAUUACUGGGCAUAAAGCGCGCGUAGGUGGCUUGGUUAGCGGGGAAUGAAAUCCCAUGGCUCACCCAUGGAACUGUUCUCCGAACUGCCAGGCUUGAGGACGGGAGGGGGAAGCGGAAUUCCUGGUGUAGCGGUGAAAUGCGUAGAUAUCAGGAGGAACGCCGGUGGCGAAAGCGGCUUCCUGGUCCGAUCCUGACACUGAGGCGCGAAAGCUAGGGGAGCAAACAGGAUUAGAUA
RNAcentral lists this ribosomal RNA (279 nucleotides) under uncultured bacterium. RNAcentral describes it as "partial 16S ribosomal RNA". It matches the Rfam family "Bacterial small subunit ribosomal RNA", at positions 506 to 784 of the family's 1533-position model. The record is from RNAcentral.